CUACGGGUGGCUGCAGUAGGGAAUCUUCGGCAAUGGACGGAAGUCUGACCGAGCAACGCCGCGUGAGUGAAGAAGGUUUUCGGAUCGUAAAGCUCUGUUGUAAGAGAAGAACGAGUGUGAGAGUGGAAAGUUCACACUGUGACGGUAUCUUACCAGAAAGGGACGGCUAACUACGUGCCAGCAGCCGCGGUAAUACGUAGGUCCCGAGCGUUGUCCGGAUUUAUUGGGCGUAAAGCGAGCGCAGGCGGUUAGAUAAGUCUGAAGUUAAAGGCUGUGGCUUAACCAUAGUACGCUUUGGAAACUGUUUAACUUGAGUGCAGAAGGGGAGAGUGGAAUUCCAUGUGUAGCGGUGAAAUGCGUAGAUAUAUGGAGGAACACCGGUGGCGAAAGCGGCUCUCUGGUCUGUAACUGACGCUGAGGCUCGAAAGCGUGGGGAGCAAACAGGAUUAGAUACCCCGGUAGUC
This 464-nucleotide ribosomal RNA is filed under the name uncultured bacterium. RNAcentral describes it as "partial 16S ribosomal RNA". It matches the Rfam family "Bacterial small subunit ribosomal RNA", at positions 339 to 795 of the family's 1533-position model. The record is from RNAcentral.